UGCCCCAGUAACGGCGAGUGAAGCGGCAACAGCUCAGAUUUGAAAUCCGGCGCCCCCGCGGGGCGCCCGAGUUGUAAUCUGCAGAGGAUGCUCCUGGCGCGGCGCCGUCCGAGUUCCCUGGAACGGGACGCCGCAGAGGGUGAGAGCCCCGUACGGUCGGACGCCCAGCCUGUGUGGAGCCCCUUCGGCGAGUCGAGUAGUUUGGGAAUGCUGCUCAAAACGGGAGGUAUACGCCUUCUAAAGCUAAAUACCGGCCAGAGACCGAUAGCGCACAAGUAGAGUGAUCGAAAGAUGAAAAGCACUUUGAAAAGAGGGUUAAACAGUACGUGAAAUUGUUGAAAGGGAAGCGCUCGCGGCCAGACUCGGGCCCGGGGGAUCAUCCGGCGCUCGCGCCGGUGCACUCCGCCGGGCUCCGGGCCAGCAUCGGCCCGCGGCGGGGGAUAAAGGCGCCGGGAACGUGGCUCCCCAGGGAGUGUUAUAGCCCGGCGCGCAACGCCCCGCGGCGGGCCGAGGUUCGCGCGUCCGCAAGGAUGCUGGCGUAAUGGCCACCAGCGACCCGUCUUGAAACACGGACCAAGGAGUCGUCUUCGCAUGCGAGUGUUCGGGCGUCAAACCCGUGCGCGUAAUGAAAGUGAACGCGGGUGGGAGCCCCCCCUAGCGGGGGGCGCACCGCCGACCGAUCCUGAAGUUCACGGAUGGAUUUGAGUAGGAGCAUGCGGGGCCGGACCCGAAAGAAGGUGAACUAUGCCUGUGUAGGGUGAAGCCAGAGGAAACUCUGGUGGAGGCUCGCAGCGGUUCUGACGUGCAAAUCGAUCGUCAAACAUGGGCAUGGGGGCGAAAGACUAAUCGAAC
Molecule: ribosomal RNA, 852 nt
Filed under: Ophiocordyceps naomipierceae
Lineage: Eukaryota; Fungi; Ascomycota; Sordariomycetes; Hypocreales; Ophiocordycipitaceae
Description: eukaryotic LSU rRNA
Rfam family: Eukaryotic large subunit ribosomal RNA
Source: RNAcentral